RNAcentral lists this transfer RNA (74 nucleotides) under Planctomycetota bacterium. RNAcentral describes it as "tRNA-Pro". It matches the Rfam family "tRNA". Rfam says of the family: Transfer RNA (tRNA) molecules are approximately 80 nucleotides in length. The record is from RNAcentral. Lineage: Bacteria; Pseudomonadati; Planctomycetota.
CGGGGUGUAGCUCAGUUUGGCAGAGUGCCUGCUUUGGGAGCAGGAAGUCGGAGGUUCGAAUCCUCUCGCCCCGA